GAGUUCUAUUCAUCUUUGAAAAACUAAACAAAGAAUUCCUAACCAGUGGUUAUCACAGACCUGAUGGAGCUGUUCACAUGCAAUCUUCACUUGGAGAUACAAUGUUUCUGUCUCCAUGUACUUGAUUAUGUAGAGUGAACACAGAGAGAUUGGUGAACUUUCUGAGGAGUGGAGAGCACAUCUACCUUGUCAGAAGAGAAUUACUGGACUAUAAAUUCAGACUUGAAGAAAGCAGACAUCCUGGAAAUGUUGUAUUUGGAGAGUAUUGCCAUCCUGAAUAGAAUCAAAAGCAGGAAAAGAUGAGGUCCACCUUCAGAUGAGAUGUCUAUAAACUCCUAUGUCUGCUGAGAGCUGAGUCUUCAAAGUCAUCAGCAUUGAUCAGCAAGGAUGGAGGAUACAUAUAUUUAGAGCUCAUGCUUCAGCUGAGGAGUUCAGCAAAUGUCUGAAGACUGAAGCCAUGGCACCUGCAGCUUGUCACCACACAGUUAAGCAGGUGUUGAGAGAUGGUAGCAUGUGAAGUAUGCAACACAGAGGUGAGCAGAGAUAAAACCUAGGAAGCUCAU
This 563-nucleotide long non-coding RNA is filed under the name Coturnix japonica (Japanese quail). Its description in RNAcentral is "lncRNA (ENSCJPG00005008880.1)". The record is from RNAcentral. Lineage: Eukaryota; Metazoa; Chordata; Aves; Galliformes; Phasianidae.